GUUACUUCAAAUGACGUCGGGAACCAUUUCCGGAUUUCGAGACGUUGUCGUCUACCGUAAUACUCACCAGGAAAACGAACCGAUGAUCGUGCACCAGACUCGAACGAGCCAAAGUUUCGCGCGCUUCCUCGCGCAGACCGAUCAUCUUCGGGCAAAUCGGAUCGAACAUGUAUCCGGCGUCGCCAAGCUCUGACGCGCCCUCGUCUUCGCAGAGGAUCAAAUUCAAUUUGGACAUCUCUUCGUGAAACUCUUCCUUGCUAGUGAACUUGUUGGAAUUUAUCCAUCCGGAAGCGAGCGCGGCAGCCUCGGCUUGUUCACCCCAAGCUACGCCUUCGAUGACCCGCAAACGCGUUGGCAACAGCUCGUCUUCGCGUCACGUUUCCAACACCACGGGUACACAUUAUCUUGUCACGACCGGACGUGGAUUAAUACGAAUCAUCCCGAUUACAACAAGAGACAAUAGAAGUGAUUCGUAUCAAAGGAAACGAAACGAAAUCUCGUAAGCGGAAGCUGGAAGUAGCGUUUCAUUGCUAUCCGAAGUUAUGACACCGUGUCGACAAAAAGAUAAAACGGAUCCCGGCUACCAACGACGGCGACUAUAUAUGUAUACUCGAAAGUUCAGACGAUCACCGAUUUCGAGACUUCGAGACUCUACGGUACACGCGUGCACAGCCGAAGCAAAAGAGAUUCGAAUUACCUGUUGGUCGUGGUCUCCUUGUCGCAUGCUCUUUGCAACUCGACCAAUCCGUAGUAAACGCGCUGCCGCCAAUCUUCGUUGCUCGGCAAAAUCAAUUCCUCCGCUUCCUCGUUCAAUUUUUCAUCGCGAAGUUGCCCGCGGAUCGACGUCCACCUUUUAAAAGCAAGUUGCAAAAUCUUGACGUAGUCGCCAAGUUUGCCGCUACCGACUCGAUCGGAAACUUCGUCGUCUAGUUGGGUUUUCGACAUUUCUCGCGAUUCGCGGUCUCUCGAUUCUCCGCCACAAUUUUGUCGAUUCUUUCGUAAUCUCGGAACAAUUAAAUCGCGAUACUGUAAAUCGGUUUAUCUGUUAUCCGGGUCGAGCAAAAUUACUAUACCCGUGUCGAGGGUAUAUGUACAUACACGCUACGGCACCGUUGCGCUCGUCCGAACACCGGAGACUGCGAGCUUGCUACACUUGCUACACUUGCUACACCUUCUUCCCUUUCCGAGCCGACCGAAAGUAGGGUUCUACUUCCAAUCUUACGGUCGUCGCAACGUCGCGUGCUCCGGUAACAUCUUCGACGAAAUCACGAUCAACCGUCUGUUCGUGGUCAGCCUAGAUCCAUCCAACGAGCACGGUACCUCGGUCUCCCGAAGUCGCUGCAUUAUCUUAUGGUUACGUGUCCCGUUCGUGCUAUACGUCAUUUAUUCGUACCAUUGCAUUCUGUAAUAUGCAUAUCGUCGACGGAACGGAUGCGGCAAAACGUAUCGCCAACGGCAGGCAAAGUUUAACGCUUGUUCUACCAUGAAUCGCUCUUAUCGAACAAGAUUAUAGUGCCGGAUUACUAUCUUUAUAGAAAACUAAAAAGAAUCGACGACCAACAAAAUAACUUGAUGAGUUAUUGCCCUCGGAUUCUUUGGGAUUAUUGACUGCUGAUUUCUAAGCAAAAAUAUUUGGCAAAUCAAGCCGUACAUGAACAUUAGUGCUGUUGUGGAGAACAUUGCUAUGCGUCGCAUACAAUCAUGCAAUAAUCUAUAUCUUUAUUUUACACGAUUUUGUUGCGCCUAGUAUUUUACUGCGCUUCACUUACAAUAUGACAGUGAAAGAAUGUUUUGGAAAGAGAAUAACGUUAAACGAUAUAUUUCUUUGUUGCGUCAAAUGUUCAGUAUAAGAAUACAAAUUUCAAAUGUCAACGUCAUGUUUAUCGGUAUCUCGGAUAUACUCUUUGGUUAGUAUAUUAAUAAACGUUUGUAACUGCAA
Megalopta genalis is the source of this 1939-nucleotide non-coding RNA. The record is from RefSeq and is a predicted model, not a curated record. NCBI's taxonomy places the organism in Eukaryota, Metazoa, Arthropoda, Insecta, Hymenoptera, Halictidae.